Molecule: unclassified non-coding RNA, 294 nt
Filed under: Hevea brasiliensis (rubber tree)
Lineage: Eukaryota; Viridiplantae; Streptophyta; Magnoliopsida; Malpighiales; Euphorbiaceae
Source: RNAcentral
AUUUUGGAUUAACUUGUUCCCAACCAGACUACCCUAAGUGUAUAAAAGUACUCUACCCUUUAAAAGCGCUUCUAUUUUUCCCUCUCGCUCCACACAUGACACAACCCAUAUACGCGCGAGUGGGGCAACCUUCGCGCCUUAUGUCUCCUCAUUUGCUUCCCACAGCACCAGCUGAACUUCAUCUUCCAUUGUAGCUUACAAAAAGAAACACAUCUUUGUCUAAUUGAAAGAAGUAUGAUAACUUGAUAAUAUAAACAAGUAUAGUCUAAUGAAUGAAUAUCCUCGUUCAGCUAA